Oncorhynchus keta (chum salmon) is the source of this 1159-nucleotide long non-coding RNA. RefSeq lists it as uncharacterized. The record is from RefSeq and is a predicted model, not a curated record. Lineage: Eukaryota; Metazoa; Chordata; Actinopteri; Salmoniformes; Salmonidae. The transcript is spliced from 3 exons.
AAGUGAAUUUGUGGAAUUUCUUUCCUUCUUAAUGUGUUUAAGCCAAUCAGUUGUUGUGCAAACGUAGAGGUGGUAUACAGAAGAUAGUCUUUUACCAAAUAGGGCUGAGUCCAAAUGAUGGCAAGAACAGCUCAAAAAAAGCAAAGAGAAACGACAGUCCAUCAUUACUUGGAGAAACUUUCAAAGUGCAGUCGCAAAAACCAUCAAGUGCUAUGAUGAAACUGGCUCUCAUGAGGAGCGCCACAUGAAAGGAAGACCCGGAGUUCCCUCUGCUACAGAGGACACGGUCAUUAGAGUUACCAGCCUCAGAUUGCAGUCCAAAUAAAUGUUUCACAGAGAUCAAGUAACAGACACAUCUCAACAUCAACUGUUCAGAGACUGCGUGAAUCAGGCCAUCGUGGUCAAAUUGCUGCAAAGAAACCACUACUAAAAGACACCAAUAAGAAGAGACUUGCUUGGGCCAAGAAACACGAGCAAUGGACAUUAGACCGGUGGAAAUCUGUCCUUUGGUCCAAAUUUGAGAUUUUUGGUUCCAACCGCUGUGUCUUAGUGAGACGCAGAGUAGGGGGAGUGUGAGGUAAUACAGUAGGGGGAGGAGCAGCGUGAGGUAAUACAGUAGGGGAGGAGCAGCGCGAGGUAAUACAGUAGGGGAGGAGCAGCGCGAGGUAAUACAGUAGGGGGAGCGCGAGGUAAUACAGUAGGGGGAGCGCGAGGUAAUACAGUAGGGGGAGCGCGAGGUAAUACAGUAGGGGGAGCGCGAGGUAAUACAGUAGGGGGAGCGCGAGGUAAUACAGUAGGGGGAGCGCGAGGUAAUACAGUAGGGGGAGCGCGAGGUAAUACAGUAGGGGGAGCGCGAGGUAAUACAGUAGGGGGAGCGCGAGGUAAUACAGUAGGGGGAGCGCGAGGUAAUACAGUAGGGGGAGCGCGAGGUAAUACAGUAGGGGGAGCGCGAGGUAAUACAGUAGGGGGAGCGCGAGGUAAUACAGUAGGGGGAGCGCGAGGUAAUACAGUAGGGGGAGCGCGAGGUAAUACAGUAGGGGGAGCGCGAGGUAAUACAGUAGGGGGAGCGCGAGGUAAUACAGUAGGGGGAGCGCGAGGUAAUACAGUAGGGGGAGCGCGAGGUAAUACAGUAGGGGGAGCGUGAGGUAAUACAGUAGGG